Molecule: microRNA precursor, 58 nt
Filed under: Tribolium castaneum (red flour beetle)
Lineage: Eukaryota; Metazoa; Arthropoda; Insecta; Coleoptera; Tenebrionidae
Description: Tca-Mir-252-P1_pre stem-loop
Source: RNAcentral
UUAAGUAGUUGCGCCGAAGGUGAUGUUUUUGAAAUCUCCUCGGUCUGGCUGCUUUAUA